Non-coding RNA from Acanthosepion pharaonis, 113 nucleotides. The record is from the annotation of a GenBank genome assembly. Lineage: Eukaryota; Metazoa; Mollusca; Cephalopoda; Sepiida; Sepiidae.
ACGUCCACAUUAAGUUGAAAUACCAGUUUCCGUACGAUCCCCAAAGUUAAGCAAAAUCUGAGCCUGUUCAGUACGUAGAUGAGCGACCGCUUGGGAAUACCAGGUGCUGUAAG